CGUAGGGUGCGAGCGUUAAUCGGAAUUACUGGGCGUAAAGCGUGCGUAGGCGGCCAACUAAGUCGGACGUGAAAUCCCCAGGCUCAACCUGGGAACUGCGUCCGAUACUGGAUGGCUUGAAUCCGGUAGAGGGGGAUGGAAUUCCGCGUGUAGCAGUGAAAUGCGUAGAUAUGCGGAGGAACACCGAUGGCGAAGGCAAUCCCCUGGACCUGUACUGACGCUCAUGCACGAAAGCGUGGGGAGCAAACAGGAUUAGAUACCCUGGUAGUCCACGCCCUAAACGAUGUCAACUGGUUGUUGGGUCUUUACUGACUCAGUAACGAAGCUAACGCGUGAAGUUGACCGCCUGGGGAGUACGGCCGCAAGGCUG
This 370-nucleotide ribosomal RNA is filed under the name uncultured organism. Its description in RNAcentral is "bacterial SSU rRNA". It matches the Rfam family "Bacterial small subunit ribosomal RNA", at positions 526 to 896 of the family's 1533-position model. The record is from RNAcentral.